UACGUAGGGAGCUAGCGUUGUUCGGAAUUACUGGGCGUAAAGCGCACGUAGGCGGCUUUGUAAGUUAGAGGUGAAAGCCUGGAGCUCAACUCCAGAACUGCAUUUAAGACUGGAUCGCUCGAAUACAGGAGAGGUGAGUGGAAUUCCUAGUGUAGAGGUGAAAUUCGUAGAUAUUCGGAAGAACACCAGUGGCGAAGGCGGCUCACUGGACUGGUAUUGACGCUGAGGUGCGAAAGCGUGGGUAGCAAACAGG
This 253-nucleotide ribosomal RNA is filed under the name uncultured bacterium. RNAcentral's name for it is "partial 16S ribosomal RNA". It matches the Rfam family "Bacterial small subunit ribosomal RNA", at positions 524 to 776 of the family's 1533-position model. The record is from RNAcentral.